This 48-nucleotide non-coding RNA is filed under the name Schistosoma margrebowiei. The record is from RNAcentral. Lineage: Eukaryota; Metazoa; Platyhelminthes; Trematoda; Strigeidida; Schistosomatidae.
AUCCAACUGACGAGUCCCAACUGGGACAAAAUGCUCGUCAAACUGGAU